Zonotrichia albicollis (white-throated sparrow) is the source of this 294-nucleotide non-coding RNA. The record is from RefSeq and is a predicted model, not a curated record. Lineage: Eukaryota; Metazoa; Chordata; Aves; Passeriformes; Passerellidae.
GAAUCAGACAGGCACAGGGACCUGUUCCAGCUGGGAUCCCCAUUCAGAUAGAUCCCAAUCAGGAGUCAGACAGGCACAGGGCCCUGUUCCAGGUGGGGUCCCCAUUCAGGUAGAUUCAAGUCAGGAGUCAGUCAGGCACAGGGCCCUGUCCAAGGUGAGAUUCCCCCUAAGAUGUGCUCAGAUCAGGAGUCAGAGAGGCACAGGGACCUGUUCCAGGUGGGAUCCCCAUUCAGAUAGAUCCCAAUCAGGAGUCAGACAGGCACAGGGCCCUGUUCCAGGUGUGUUUCUCCUCCA